UCUCAAGUGAAGGGCAAAGAUAUCACUGAGCUGAUUGCUGCCGGCAGAGAAAAGUUGGCUUCAGUACCUGCUGGUGGAGGUGCUGCUUGUGCAGUUGCUGCACCUGGUGGUGGCGGUGCUGCUGCACCUGCUGCUGCGGAGAAGAAGGAAGAAAAGAAAGUGGAAGAAAAAGAGGAGUCAGAUGAUGACAUGGGCUUCAGUCUUUUCGAUUAGAAGAAGUCGAAGAAUUCAGUUUAUGAAGUGUUGUCCCCUUUUCCAUUUGUUGUUCCCCUUG
RNAcentral lists this long non-coding RNA (274 nucleotides) under Solanum tuberosum (potato). RNAcentral's name for it is "long non-coding RNA (STUB_LNC006838)". Lineage: Eukaryota; Viridiplantae; Streptophyta; Magnoliopsida; Solanales; Solanaceae. The record is from RNAcentral.